UGAUCGAUUCUUUUGAUAUGCGUAAAAUUAGAGCAAAUCAAUGCUGGAUUAGUGAUGUGUGUUGAAUGAUGAAUCGAUUGAUAUAAUUUUCAUGCAUUUCUGUGCAAUUUGGAUCAUGAUGAUUAUGAGCAUGAUGAAGAUGAUGAUGAACAUUAGGUUUUCGUGUCCAGAAUUCUUUUGAUCUGCCUGGCCUAUGUUUUGCAUGUGUUUCGUGGUUUUUGUCCCAUGCACCUA
RNAcentral lists this long non-coding RNA (234 nucleotides) under Lathyrus oleraceus (garden pea). Its description in RNAcentral is "Pisum sativum (pea) long non-coding RNA (PSAT_LNC029520)". Lineage: Eukaryota; Viridiplantae; Streptophyta; Magnoliopsida; Fabales; Fabaceae. The record is from RNAcentral.